GGAAAGGUAUCGAAGUGGUCAUAACGGUGCUGACUCGAAAUCAGUUUGAGGUUAAACUCACGUGGGUUCGAAUCCCACCCUUUCUGCCA
This 89-nucleotide transfer RNA is filed under the name Christensenellaceae bacterium. Its description in RNAcentral is "tRNA-Ser". It matches the Rfam family "tRNA". From Rfam's summary of the family: Transfer RNA (tRNA) molecules are approximately 80 nucleotides in length. Their secondary structure includes four short double-helical elements and three loops (D, anti-codon, and T loops). Lineage: Bacteria; Bacillati; Bacillota; Clostridia; Christensenellales; Christensenellaceae. The record is from RNAcentral.